AUGGCUGUCGUCAGCUCGUGUCGUGAGAUGUUGGGUUAAGUCCCGCAACGAGCGCAACCCUUAUCCUAUGUUGCCAGCGGGUAAUGCCGGGGACUCGUAGGAGACUGCCGGGGUCAACUCGGAGGAAGGUGGGGAUGACGUCAAGUCAUCAUGCCCCUUAUGUCCAGGGCUGCACACAUGCUACAAUGGCCGGUACAAAGGGCUGCUAUCCCGCGAGGGUGAGCGAAUCCCAAAAAGCCGGUCUCAGUUCGGAUUGGAGUCUGCAACUCGACUCCAUGAAGUCGGAGUCGCUAGUAAUCCCGGAUCAGCAACGCCGGGGUGAAUACGUUCCCGGGCCUUGUACACACCGCCCGUCACACCACGAAAGUCGGCAACACCCGAAGCCGGUGGCCCAACCGCAAGGAGGGAGCCGUCGAAGGUGGGGUCGGUGAUUGGGGUGAAGUCGUAACAAGGUAGCCGUACCGGAAGGUGCGGCUGGAUCACCUCCUUUCUAAGGAGUCAACUGUCAGGCCAUCUCGGUCUGGCGAACUCCCAGUCGAUCACUAGCUAUUCGGUCGGCAGGUCAGCCAGCGCAUUCGAAGGUUUCGACCUCGUGCGCCGGGCAACCAGUCAGCCGGGCCUCCUCUAUUCCGUUUUCUGGGCACGCCGCUGCGGUAGCAGCCGUCGGCGUUCCCAGAGGAGAGCCUCGCAAGAGGGCUCACGAUGCCGGCACCCCCACAGGCGCCGGUCUCUUGCGUCCCCGUCGCGCGCCCCUUGAGAACUCCAUAGCGAGCACGAGCAUCUUUGUUUAUCAAGCUACAAAGAGCCAACGGUGGAUGCCUUGGCGCCUGAAGCCGAUGAAGGACGUGGGUGGCUGCGAAAAGCCACGGGGAGCUGCCGACCAAGCUUCGAUCCGUGGAUGUCCGAAUGGGGAAACCCGG
RNAcentral lists this small RNA (920 nucleotides) under uncultured Acidimicrobiaceae bacterium. Its description in RNAcentral is "bacterial SSU rRNA". The stretch from base 1 to 490 matches the Rfam family "Bacterial small subunit ribosomal RNA", at positions 1045 to 1533 of the family's 1533-position model. The record is from RNAcentral. Lineage: Bacteria; Bacillati; Actinomycetota; Acidimicrobiia; Acidimicrobiales; Acidimicrobiaceae.